AUUGAACGCUGGCGGCAGGCCUAACACAUGCAAGUCGAGCGGAUGAAGGGAGCUUGCUCCUGGAUUCAGCGGCGGACGGGUGAGUAAUGCCUAGGAAUCUGCCUGGUAGUGGGGGAUAACGUCCGGAAACGGGCGCUAAUACCGCAUACGUCCUGAGGGAGAAAGUGGGGGAUCUUCGGACCUCACGCUAUCAGAUGAGCCUAGGUCGGAUUAGCUAGUUGGUGGGGUAAAGGCCUACCAAGGCGACGAUCCGUAACUGGUCUGAGAGGAUGAUCAGUCACACUGGAACUGAGACACGGUCCAGACUCCUACGGGAGGCAGCAGUCGGGAAUAUUGGACAAAGGGCGAAAGCCUGAUCCAGCCAUGCCGCGUGUGUGAAGAAGGUCUUCGGAUUGUAAAGCACUUUAAGUUGGGGGGAAGGGCAGUAAGUUAAUACCUUGCUGUUUUGACGUUACCAACAGAAUAAGCACCGGCUAACUUCGUG
This 484-nucleotide ribosomal RNA is filed under the name uncultured bacterium. RNAcentral's name for it is "partial 16S ribosomal RNA". It matches the Rfam family "Bacterial small subunit ribosomal RNA", at positions 30 to 507 of the family's 1533-position model. The record is from RNAcentral.